CUUCAGGAUAACUCUAAAUUGUGGUGACUGGUACCAGCCCCAAGGAUCCACUCUGCCAGCUGAGAAACACAGAGGCGCAGAAGUACGCCAUUCAGUUCCGCAUCUUAUCCUAGCAAUGCUGUCUGAGGCCAUGAUCCUUCAAACACCCACAUAUUAAACCCCCUGUGGAAUAUCAAGUCUGACUAUAUCAACUGCUAACAUGUGACUGAUGGAUGGGUGAUCUGUUCUUGCAAACUGGGAUACCAGGUUGCAGCUGUUGAGAAUGGUGGGGACAUUUGUGUGGACACAGUGUUUACAGGUCUGCUCCCUGUCCCUUACUGCUUAAAGGAUUUAUUGUUUCACAGCUUCUGGUG
Molecule: long non-coding RNA, 353 nt
Filed under: Gopherus agassizii (Agassiz's desert tortoise)
Lineage: Eukaryota; Metazoa; Chordata; Testudines; Testudinidae
Description: lncRNA (ENSGAGG00000010820.1)
Source: RNAcentral